GCUCCAGUGGUCCGUUUGUGGGAUGUCUUCUCUCUUCAGCAGAAUGUUGAGUAGAUUUCCUUAAGAAAAAGAAAGGGGUUGAGGCCGUGCGAUGACUCAGUGGAUAAAGACGUUUGCUGCUUACGUGACCUGAGAGGACAGCACACUAAGAGCUAUUCAGUCUUCUGCCUGCACCAGCACGACCUCAGCGUUCCUCUUCACCAUCCGAUCCGCACAGCAGAGAAAGGAGUCAAUAGUAUUCCAGUGAGAGUCAGAGACACAUGGGAAUAGGAGCAAAAAGGAUUCUGGAGAUACCCAGGCAGAUGGAGACAACUUUGAACAAAUUCCAUGUAAAAAGUUCUCCAAAUUUUGGAGGGGCCUUGUGUUAUCACAAGAGAGAAAGAUGUCAUUCAUGAUGCUAAGUUGUAAAAUUAUCUCUCCUGCUGCUGGGCAUCUUGAUGGCGUGGCACGGGCAAGCCUAAUCUUGCAGUGUCCAUCAGCGAUUAGACUGGACCCAUAAACAGGAACACAUGCUGACACUGAUGUACUCG
Long non-coding RNA from Psammomys obesus (fat sand rat), 530 nucleotides. RefSeq lists it as uncharacterized. NCBI's taxonomy places the organism in Eukaryota, Metazoa, Chordata, Mammalia, Rodentia, Muridae. The record is from RefSeq and is a predicted model, not a curated record. The transcript has 4 exons.